This 496-nucleotide ribosomal RNA is filed under the name uncultured bacterium. Its description in RNAcentral is "partial 16S ribosomal RNA". It matches the Rfam family "Bacterial small subunit ribosomal RNA", at positions 29 to 507 of the family's 1533-position model. The record is from RNAcentral.
AUGAACGCUGGCGGCGUGCCUCAUACCUGCAAGUCGAGCGAACAGACGAGGAGCUUGCUCCUCUGACGUUAGCGGCGGACGGGUGAGUAACACGUGGAUAACCUACCUAUAAGACUGGGAUAACUUCGGGAAACCGGAGCUAAUACCGGAUAAUAUAUUGAACCGCAUGGUUCAAUAGUGAAAGACGGUUUUGCUGUCACUUAUAGAUGGAUCCGCGCCGCAUUAGCUAGUUGGUAAGGUAACGGCUUACCAAGGCGACGAUGCGUAGCCGACCUGAGAGGGUGAUCGGCCACACUGGAACUGAGACACGGUCCAGACUCCUACGGGAGGCAGCAGUAGGGAAUCUUCCGCAAUGGGCGAAAGCCUGACGGAGCAACGCCGCGUGAGUGAUGAAGGUCUUCGGAUCGUAAAACUCUGUUAUUAGGGAAGAACAAAUGUGUAAGUAACUAUGCACGUCUUGACGGUACCUAAUCAGAAAGCCACGGCUAACUACGUG